This 757-nucleotide ribosomal RNA is filed under the name uncultured bacterium. RNAcentral's name for it is "bacterial SSU rRNA". It matches the Rfam family "Bacterial small subunit ribosomal RNA", at positions 8 to 760 of the family's 1533-position model. The record is from RNAcentral.
AGAGUUUGAUCAUGGCUCAGAUUGAACGCUGGCGGCAUGCCUUACACAUGCAAGUCGAACGGUAACAGGUCUUUCGGGAUGCUGACGAGUGGCGAACGGGUGAGUAAUACAUCGGAACGUGCCUAGUAGUGGGGGAUAACUACUCGAAAGAGUGGCUAAUACCGCAUGAGAUCUAUGGAUGAAAGCAGGGGACCUUCGGGCCUUGUGCUACUAGAGCGGCCGAUGGCAGAUUAGGUAGUUGGUGGGAUAAAAGCUUACCAAGCCUACGAUCUGUAGCUGGUCUGAGAGGACGAUCAGCCACACUGGGACUGAGACACGGCCCAGACUCCUACGGGAGGCAGCAGUGGGGAAUUUUGGACAAUGGGCGCAAGCCUGAUCCAGCAAUGCCGCGUGCAGGAUGAAGGCCUUCGGGUUGUAAACUGCUUUUGUACGGAACGAAAAGUCUUGGGUUAAUACCCUGGGAUCAUGACGGUACCGUAAGAAUAAGCACCGGCUAACUACGUGCCAGCAGCCGCGGUAAUACGUAGGGUGCAAGCGUUAAUCGGAAUUACUGGGCGUAAAGCGUGCGCAGGCGGUUUUGUAAGACAGUGGUGAAAUCCCCGGGCUCAACCUGGGAACUGCCAUUGUGACUGCAAGGCUGGAGUGCGGCAGAGGGGGAUGGAAUUCCGCGUGUAGCAGUGAAAUGCGUAGAUAUGCGGAGGAACACCGAUGGCGAAGGCAAUCCCCUGGGCCUGCACUGACGCUCAUGCACGAAAGC